GAUGAACGCUGGCGGCGUGCUUAACACAUGCAAGUCGAACGGGAAACCUUUUAUUGAAGCUUCGGCAGAUUUAACUGGUUUCUAGUGGCGGACGGGUGAGUAACGCGUGGGUAACCUGCCUUGUACAGGGGGAUAACAGUCAGAAAUGACUGCUAAUACCGCAUAAGCGCACAGGACCGCAUGGUCCGGUGUGAAAAACUCCGGUGGUAUAAGAUGGACCCGCGUUGGAUUAGCUUGUUGGUGGGGUAACGGCCCACCAAGGCGACGAUCCAUAGCCGGCCUGAGAGGGUGAACGGCCACAUUGGGACUGAGACACGGCCCAGACUCCUACGGGAGGCAGCAGUGGGGAAUAUUGCACAAUGGGGGAAACCCUGAUGCAGCGACGCCGCGUGAAGGAAGAAGUAUCUCGGUAUGUAAACUUCUAUCAGCAGGGAAGAAA
RNAcentral lists this ribosomal RNA (439 nucleotides) under uncultured bacterium. RNAcentral's name for it is "bacterial SSU rRNA". It matches the Rfam family "Bacterial small subunit ribosomal RNA", at positions 28 to 450 of the family's 1533-position model. The record is from RNAcentral.